RNAcentral lists this ribosomal RNA (405 nucleotides) under uncultured bacterium. RNAcentral's name for it is "partial 16S ribosomal RNA". It matches the Rfam family "Bacterial small subunit ribosomal RNA", at positions 30 to 525 of the family's 1533-position model. The record is from RNAcentral.
AUUGAACGCUGGCGGCAGGCCUAACACAUGCAAGUCGAACGAGUGGCGGACGGGUGAGUAAUGUCUGGGAAACUGCCCGAUGGAGGGGGAUAACUACUGGAAACGGUAGCUAAUACCGCAUACCAUCGGAUGUGCCCAGAUGGUAUUAGCUCUUAGGUUGGGUAACGGCUCACCUAGGCGACGAUCCCUCGCUGGUCUGAGAGGAUGACCAGCCACACUGGAACUGAGACACGGUCCAGACUCCUACGGGAGGCAGCAGUGGGGAAUAUUGAACAAUGGGCGCAAGCCUGAUGCAGCCAUGCCGCGUGUAUGAAGAAGGCCUUCGGGUUGUAAAGUACUUUCAGCGAGGAGGAGGGAAGCGAAGAAGAAGCAUCGGCUAACUCCGUGCCAGCAGCCGCGGUAAAC